GAAUUUUAUAUUUUAUUAUAUGAAUCUAGAGUAGGAAAAAUAUUAUAGAAUAUUUAGUUGGGGGGAUAAUUAAAUUAAAAAAACUUUAAUUAAAUGAGGACAUAGAUUAAUGAUUGAAAAAAAUUAUGGAGUGAUAUAUAAAUUAAGAAAGAAUUAAUUACCUUAGGGAUAACAGCGUAAUAUUAUUAGAGAGUUCAUAUUGAUAAUAGUGAUUGC
This 216-nucleotide ribosomal RNA is filed under the name Myrmicocrypta sp. MI15.04. RNAcentral describes it as "partial large subunit ribosomal RNA". Lineage: Eukaryota; Metazoa; Arthropoda; Insecta; Hymenoptera; Formicidae. The record is from RNAcentral.